Molecule: long non-coding RNA, 486 nt
Filed under: Homo sapiens (human)
Lineage: Eukaryota; Metazoa; Chordata; Mammalia; Primates; Hominidae
Description: H1-10 antisense RNA 1
Source: RNAcentral
CGCCGCUCCCCGCCGCCCUCCAGCUUCUUGCGGUUGAGCUUGAAGGAACCGUUGGCGCCGGUGCCCUUCACCUGCAGAAGCGUGUCGUUCUGCACCAGCGCCUUGAUCGAGUACUUGAGGGCACCCUCCCUGCAUGGCCCGAUGACCUGCACUCCUGUUUCAUCUCCCCGUGUGGCACCUGGGGCAGCUUGGAGCCUACCAAGGUCUCAACAAGGAACCAGUAAAUACCAAAAAAAGGACAUCACGUCCCCUACAGCUAACUGCAAAUGGUGACCAUCCCAGCCCUUGUUUGAUAACACAAGCAAAGCAAUGGCUUCUUCAAGGACACCGAGAGGAACCUCACCUCUUUCUAAAACCUCCAACACAGGGCCAGGCGCGGUGGCUCAUGCGUGUAAUCCCAGCACUUUGGGAGGCCGAGGCAGGUGGAUCACGAGGUCAGGAGAUCGAGACCAUCCUGGCUAACACGGUGAAACCCCGUCUCUACUA